AUUGAACGCUGGCGGCAGGCCUAACACAUGCAAGUCGAACGGUAACAGGAAGAAGCUUGCUUCUUUGCUGACGAGUGGCGGACGGGUGAGUAAUGUCUGGGAAACUGCCUGAUGGAGGGGGAUAACUACUGGAAACGGUAGCUAAUACCGCAUAACGUCGCAAGACCAAAGAGGGGGACCUUCGGGCCUCUUGCCAUCGGAUGUGCCCAGAUGGGAUUAGCUAGUAGGUGGGGUAACGGCUCACCUAGGCGACGAUCCCUAGCUGGUCUGAGAGGAUGACCAGCCACCCUGGAACUGAGACACGGUCCAGACGCCUACGGGAGGCAGCAGUGGGGAAUAUUGCACAGUGGGCGCAAGCCUGAUGCAGCCAUGCCGCGUGUAUGGAGAAGGCCUUCGGGUUGUAAAGUACUUUCAGCGGGGAGGAAGGGAGUAAAGUUAAUACCUUUGCUCAUUGACGUUACCCGCAGAAGAAGCACCGGCUAACUCCGUG
Molecule: ribosomal RNA, 490 nt
Filed under: uncultured bacterium
Lineage: Bacteria
Description: partial 16S ribosomal RNA
Rfam family: Bacterial small subunit ribosomal RNA
Source: RNAcentral